ACACGUGGGUAACCUGCCCGUAAGACGGGAUAACUCCGGGAAACCGGAGCUAAUACCGGAUAACACCGAAGACCGCAUGGUCUUUGGUUGAAAGGCGGCUUCGGCUGCCACUUACGGAUGGGCCCGCGGCGCAUUAGCUAGUUGGUGAGGUAACGGCUCACCAAGGCGACGAUGCGUAGCCGGCCUGAGAGGGUGACCGGCCACACUGGGACUGAGACACGGCCCAGACUCCUACGGGAGGCAGCAGUAGGGAAUCUUCCGCAAUGGACGAAAGUCUGACGGAGCGACGCCGCGUGAGCGAAGAAGGUCUUCGGAUCGUAAAGCUCUGUUGUUAGGGAAGAAGAAGUGCCGUUCGAACAGGGCGGCACGGUGACGGUACCUAACGAGAAAGCCCCGGCUAACUACGUGCCAGCAGCCGCGGUAAUACCGUAGGGGGCGAGCGUUGUCCGGAAUUAUUGGGCGUAAAGCGCGCGCAGGCGGUCCCUUAAGUCUGAUGUGAAAAGCCACGGCUUAACCGUGGAGGGUCAUUGGAAACUGGGGGACUUGAGUGCAGAAUGAGGAGAGCGGAAUUCCACGUGUAGCGGUGAAAUGCGUAGAGAUGUGGAGGAACACCCAGUUGGCGAAGGCGGCUCUCUGGUCUGUAACUGACGCUGAGGCGUGAAAGCGUGGGGAGCAAACAGAAUUAGAUACCCUGGUAGUCCACGCCGUAAACGAUGAGUGCUAAGUGUUAGAGGGGUUACCCCUUUAGUGCUGUAGCUAACGCGUUAAGCACUCCGCCUGGGGAGUACGGCCGCAAGGCUGAAACUCAAAGGAAUUGACGGGGGCCCGCACAAGCGGUGGAGCAUGU
Molecule: ribosomal RNA, 847 nt
Filed under: uncultured Geobacillus sp.
Lineage: Bacteria; Bacillati; Bacillota; Bacilli; Caryophanales; Anoxybacillaceae
Description: bacterial SSU rRNA
Rfam family: Bacterial small subunit ribosomal RNA
Source: RNAcentral